UCUUCUGGGUCUGCUUUUAUUUUGUUUUUAUCAGCUGUUGGGAAAUAAUUAGAUGGGGGUUUGGGAUUUUGGCAGAGGGGGGAUGGGUCAAGGAGAUAGGGCGAGUUAACUAGGUGCGAAGGAGUGGAUGCUUUGAGAUGCAGAGUUUCUUUGUUCAUUGUAUUAUAAGCACCUCAAAACUGAAUAGACCACAACUACUGGAUGGUUAGACAACCGUGGAAGUCAAUAACAUUACAGAUAUUAAUAGCAUCAUAAAACAUCAUUUCAAGACCCACCCUUCAGGUAUUGCAAUAUUGGAAGAAGAAAAAGGCCAAUGGCUUUCUGAAUCCAUUGCCUCAACUCCAAACAUGCAUCAAGUUGAAGAGUUUUGAAGAUCUUCUAUCAACUACAGUAAACUCUGUGAGUUGAUUAUUUGAAUUCUACAUAGAGCAGGUAAUUCACCAUAAGAAUUCUGAUAGCAGUUAUUUUUCUUGGUGGUAAUCUACCUAAAACAAAUUUGCGAAAGGAAGGUGUAUUUGCUAUAUGAUAGUAACAAGUUCGAUAUACAGCUGCAUUAAUGUUGCUAGGUUGUAAGACAAAAUUUUGACAACUAAAUAACAUGAAGAGUUAUCUGAAAAAUUAUAAUGCACUGAAUUGGUUUUCAAUUAUUCUCCUCCAAUAAUGUUAAGUGCAUUAAAUGCAUAUGAAUCAUUAUAGAAAUUUUAUUGUUUAGUUUCAAUUCAAAGCUGUGU
Ziziphus jujuba (common jujube) is the source of this 731-nucleotide long non-coding RNA. RefSeq lists it as uncharacterized. The record is from RefSeq and is a predicted model, not a curated record. The transcript has 3 exons. NCBI's taxonomy places the organism in Eukaryota, Viridiplantae, Streptophyta, Magnoliopsida, Rosales, Rhamnaceae.